Molecule: long non-coding RNA, 1010 nt
Organism: Heterocephalus glaber (naked mole-rat)
Lineage: Eukaryota; Metazoa; Chordata; Mammalia; Rodentia; Bathyergidae
Source: Ensembl
UUAUAAUGUGAUUAAGUAUCUUUUAAUUAUUCAUCCACACAAAUGAACUUAGAUCAAGUGCAGGCAAAAUAUAAGUUCUAUAAUGUCUAUAUGUCACGUGAGGUCUUAAAACUACAAAGUCGAUUCACAAUGAACAAGCAAACACAAAGUUUUAAAUAUUUAAACAACAUGUAACCAUGAUCAUUCAAAAUGUGCAUAUUUUUAAGCACAUUUCCAUACUGCUAAAGUAUCUGAAAAUAUAUGCCAGCUUAGGUGACUGAGAUAAAAGUCAUUGUUAUGAUUACAUUUAUUGGAAAGAGAAAAUGUUUCUUUACUCAGAUAAAUACAUCUAAAAUAAAUAAAUACAAAAUGAUUAGCUGGUUAAGGAAUUAGUCUUUUAAACCAACACUCUAAAUUUUUUAUUGUGAAAUCCCCAAAUUAUAAAGUCAGGAAGCACCACUCUUUCUCCUGCUACAUGAUUUCUUUGCAUUUGGUCACUAAGUUUCUGCAAACGAGCCAUGGGAACAAAGCUUGGAGAAUGGGGGCCACACAAAGAGGACAGAAUAGAGCUAAGGUGCUGGAAAGGCAGGGCGCCCUGCCAGUCACUGUAGCUCAGUCAGUUCAGCGCGGAGUAGCAAGAGCUGCCUGCUUGCUUCCUCCGGUGCACGGCCCCCAUACACCGUUAAAAUGAACAAUCCUGACCAAUCACCUUUGGAUAUCAACUAUUUUAAAUUUUUAUUUUUUUGGUACCAGAGAUGGAACUCGGGACCUUGUGCUUGCGAAGCAGGCAGCAGAACCACUGAGCUAACUCCCCGGCCAUCUAUUUUAAAUUAAUCAAUCUUUCAUACAGCGUUUUCCUCACUCCAUUCUUCAGAAAUUCUAACAUGAAAAACAAAUGAUUCCUUGUCCAGUUAGACUUUAGCUUCUGUAGACUGCACCCAUAAAGUUAUUUUUUAAAUUUAAAUUUCAAGCUCUUCUAGUUUUGGGGCUACAGACACAACACAUGGGGUUCACUGUUGGGAUUGAAUUUU